GACAGCUUCCUCCUAAGUGUGGGAUGGAUUAUGGAAUGAUGAAUGGACCACAAAAUGGAUUCAUUGAACUCCUAAGAGAGUGAAAGCCCUGGACUGUGAGCAGUGAGCACAGAAGAAAUGAGAACAUUCCUUGUCCCCUCUCUACCCCAGAUGUCCCCACUAAAAUCGACCCAAGUAACUUCUGGAUUUUCUGAGUGACAGAAGUUAUUGACAUACCAAAUUGGUACUGCGAGUGAACAUUUUGCUAUUCCUGAUGAUGUGAUUUGAAGUCUCUGCAAAUAUAUGGUGGGAAGAAUUUGGAAAUGUUUUGGAUACUGUCUAGGAAAGGCUUGAAAUGCUGGCCUCAAAACUAAGAGUUUGUCCUGAGUCUCAGAAGAAAUUUGGACUUGAAUUUUUGAGCAAUACUGGAACUGUGAAACUAUAUGGACUCUUGAUUAGGAACUGAAUACUUUCUGCGUUGCGAUAAACAUGAGCUUUUGUGGGUCAGGUAUAGAUAUCUCCUCCAUUUAGAUGAGAUGUGUUUGGCUACACAGUUGACAGAACGUGGGCUGUGACGUUUAAUCAGGCUAAGUUGAUUAGAUUGAGAAGGGGCUAGGAGACUAGGAAAGCACAUCCCUGGGUAUGUCUGUGCGGUCAUUUCUCAUGUGUAAUGAAGUGGGGAAAACCUGGUUAUCUUCAGCUAUAAACUUUAAUAAUUUUUAACAGUUCUUUAAAUUAUGUGUCUGUCUUAUAUCUAUAUGUUACAAUUCUUUUUCUUUUCCUCUGUCAUUUCAUGUUAUAGAAAAUCUUUUGUUGGCUGAUCGGAAUUUUUUCGAUAUGGCUCAUUACUUGUGACUGAAUGAAUGUUCCAGCAAGGAUGUGUUAUACUUGUAGUAAAAUGUCUUCAUAGCUGCUUCUUGUUUAGUUGCAGCUGGUUUUGAAGUAGUUCUUUUUCCAGCACAGAUAUUUUCCUUAGUGCAUCCAAUCUCUUCUGCUGCAAAUCGUCUUUCAGUUGAGAAAAUUUGUGUGGUUUGCAGACUUGAUAGGUGACUUUUUGGUUUGGUGACUCGGUCUGAUUUGUGGGUACUCAAUAAGGAAGUCCUUAGAAUACACCUGCUCAUAGGGAUUCAGUUGUUCACUUGAGAUGGAGGAGUGUGGACUGGGGAGAGGGGCUGGCACCCACUGAGACUGCAUCGAGAUUUAGUUCUUGUAACUGCUCUAGAAUUCCUCACAUCUUGUGGUUUUUCUCUUGGUUUAGUUUCAUCUUGAGGUUUUACUCAAGGUCUCAUUGUUGUUGUGAUUUCUCCAUUGGGGCAUUAAUACUAAUGCCUGUAAUAUUAAGAUCACGCUCAUGUGCUUUAAUCUGUUCCAAUUCUCUGGCUUAAAUAAACAUGGUAAGUAGUGUGCAGGGUUUGAAGUACACAUUUGGUUGUUGAGUUAUGGUGGGGUAGUGUAGGUUCUUUAGAUUUCAGAUUAUAUUGACUUAUCCCUGGGGACUUCCAAUACUAUAUUUAUGUUUAUUUGUGUUCACUGAGGACAGUGAGUGGGGCUAAUUCCUUAGCCCGAGGAGGUAGAAGGCCAGUGGGUUUGCCUGCUAACUUUGUGGGGCUAGCUUUCAAUCCAGGAUCUUGGUGCUCCCAGUGGCCUUGUCCACUGUAGUGUCCUAGGCUGGUGAAUGAGUUCCAGCAGCCUGGAUAUCAGCAGAUAUAGCCUCAGCUGACUGAGAGCUCUCAGUUUCUUGUGUGCUCUUCCUGAGCAGGUGGUCCUGUCUUGCUUUAAAUCCUCUACUUCCCAAGUAGCUUGGGCAGCCUGGGUUAUGAAGGUACCUCCUUUUGCUGUUCAGAGGUUUGAGAGCUCGGCUCCAAUCUUGGUGGGGGAAGCAGCCUUGCUGGGUUUCAGCCUCUUGGCUGCAACCCUGUCAGCCAGGUGUUCAGUGGCUUGUUGCUCAGCUCUUUUGGGGCUCAUGUCAAAGGACAUCCUCUAAGUGAUCUUUGGGAGGACUGGUCCAAUUGAACAUCAUCUGCUGCUGAUGUGGAAGUGUUUCCAACAGAUUUACCCUUAACAGUUAGAGAGCUGGCAGGUGUUUUUGUUAGUAGGACAUUUGAAUCUUGUCCCUUCUUGAUUUGUGUAGUGGCACUGGUAGGCCUUAGGGACGUCUUGCGCUGUUUUUCCUGUCUUGGUGUGUGAGUGGGCCAGGAGCAGUGGAUUUUCCUUCAUUGUGGCCUUAUGCCUGGUGGCAGGAGGUCUGGAGCCUCUGCGGGGAUUGGGUCAGAUUGCAUUGUCUUGGGGACCUCUGAGGACACCUUGCCCUUGAUUGUUUUAGUCUCUUUGCUGAAUAUUUCCUGGCAGCCAGGUUCCAAAUGCCUCUGCUUUCAAUUAAAGGUAUAGGGGAUACAGGUGAUGACUGGGUGUCCAUGGUGGUAAUGCUGUCUUCAUCUCUGCUCCCUGAGGAGCUGAGGGGUUGCUCCUCAAAGAGGGGGACUUGUGCUGAAUCUGGCUGCUGCCUCAGAGGAGGUGGUACACUAGGUCCUUCCGUGGCCUGAAAUCCAGAAGGAUCUUGGUGGAUGAAUCUCCUGAGUGGCCACAACAGGAGCCCCCAUGGAUGGUUUUUGGGCUGCUGCAUCCUCUCCGUGUGGACUUAGGGGGACUGGAUAUCACCAACCCAGGAUACUCUGCAGAUGAUGCUUCUUGGCGGCCAGCGCAGGAGCCCCAGUUGGUGUUUCAGUCCCUACAUGGGAAGCAGUGCACACUGGUAUAUAUCAAAACCUGUGGAGGUUCUGCACAGAUGUUCCUCUGGGUGACCUGACCUUCAUCAUCAACUGAGGAUGAUUCUCUGGGGUGACCUGACCUCACCAGCAAGUGUGGAGGGUCUGUGGGGUAUUCCUCUGGGGUGACUUGAUCUUCAUCAGCAACUGCAGAGGGUCUGGCGGAUGAUCUUCCGGGGUGAACUGACCUUCAUCAUCAACCGAGUGGGUCAGCGUGGAUGUUCCUCUGGGGUGGCCAACAGAGCAGCCCCAAGGGAUCUUUGGGUGCUCUGUCCAUUCUACGUGCACUCAGGACUUUGCCAGAAACCUCAGAUGGUCUUCAACGAUGUUCAUUUGGGGUGGCUGAUAGAACAGCCCUAAGGGAUCUUUGGAGUUCUCUGUCCACGCCACACUCACUCAGGACUUUGUCAGAAAUCUCAGAUGGGCUUCAAGGAUGUUCCUCUGGGGUGGCUGAUAGAACAGCCCCAAGGGAUCUUUGGGGUGCUCUGUCCUCUCAAAGCGCACUCAGGACUUUACCACAAACCUCAGUGGUCUUCGGGGAUGUUCCUCCGGGGUGACGACCUUCAUCAUUGACCUGGGACAGUCUUCGGGGAUGUUCCUCCUAGGUGGCCUCCCUAAAGGUGGCCAACAGAGCAGCCCCGUGGGAUUUUUUUCCUGUCCACUCCAUGGGUAUGCGGGAUUAGAUCUUCAAAAGCAACCACUGGGGGUCUUCGAGGAUGAUCCCCGGGAGUGCCCGAAACAGGAGCCCCUAUAGAUGGUUUUCUGCGCGUUCCACCCCUCUGCAUUUGGGGCCCUGCGAUGGUGGUGUACUUGUCAGUGUUCUCUAGCCAGGAGGAUGUGUGAAGGUGUCCAUCUUCUGUCAAAAAGGCAAGGGAUGAUUUUUUUAGGGCCUCUGUCCUCCACUGAGGAGACACUGGGCCAGGGCUGGACAUUUGCCAGUCACUAAACUCAGAGGUUCUGUGCCCAGCCUGAUCCUCAGUGACAAAAUAGAGAAGAUUUUCUUGGAGGUCCGUAGUACACGCUAAGGGCACACUGGCUGGUGUCCAUAAGCCACGAGGGUCUGCGCAUACUGCACUCCUUAGUCACAUAAAUUGGAGCCCCCAUGGAUUUUUUUGCCGGACUCCCAUCGUUCCCUGUAUGAGGGCCUAGGAUGCCAGAUAUUGGCUGAUGUCUAACCGCCAGGAAGGGCUGCUCAAAAAGUCUUCGUUCUGGAAAGCCACCGGAUCCCCUGAGAUGUUUUCUGCCCACAGCAGUGGAGUGCCAGUGAAACCUGGCAAAAGAAAGUUUGCCUAGGGUCACCUCCUAGAUGUCAGUGGGAGCUGGCCCUGUGGAUCUGGAUGGCUGGCUGGUGGUGGCUUGGCCUUCUGCUCCUUGCCCAUUGUGCUCCAUUGCCAAAGGCAAUGCUCUCUGCCCUUUGGGUGGGUCCAAGCCCUUUUCCUUGGUCUUAAUUCUAAUGCCAAAAGCAAAUUCAAUAUCCAAGAAAUGAGCUGUGGCCUGUGCCUUGGCUCUUGCUCUUGGAUCUGAGGCAAUUGAAUUUUGCAAACAGUCUGACCAUCAAUGUGCAUCGUGACUCUCUAUGCACCACCUCUAUGCUGCUGUGGGUGGGGCUGGAGGACAGACGGUGUCACAGGUGACUGGGGCUGAGCCAUGUGCUCGCUGGUAGUUUUCUGUUGCUGCCCUGUGUGUCAGUGAGAAUAGCUACAUCUGAGGAAACAAUUCAUAAGGCUUAUGGGUUAUGAGGUAUCUGUGGCUGUCAGAAGGGUUAGGAUUAACUGAAGGAUGGUCUGUCUCUGGUCAGAGGGUAGAUCCGACUCUGGAGGUCUUGUCUUCAACUCCACUUCCAUCCUCAAGUGCUUCAGAUCAUGUCCCGGGUGAGUUAGGCUGUCUUCUGCACCACAGUGCAGAGUUCAGCUCAGCACCUUGGACUGAAAGGGAUGAGGCACAAGAGGAGCUGUCGAGGAGAUGGCAGCGGAAGGAAGCACUUGGGGUUUCUAGGAAGAAUUGCCAAAGAAAUCUUUACCAUGUCCUAAGGACUGGAAAUUGAAAAGUUCUUAUAUAAGUUUUAGUACAUUUCUCUCCAAAGUAUGUAAAGCAUUCCUGAGGAGCAGGAGAGAAUACUUAGAUGUGUUUGUGUUGGCUCUGUGGUGGCUCUGCCAAGCUGCCAUACAUAACUUAAGGCAAGGAAAAUGUCAUUGAGGCUCACGGUUUCUGGUGUUUGUGUCAAGGCCACAGAGAGUAUGUGACAGGAGAGCCCCUCACAGCAUGGUAGCCAGGAAGCAGAGCUCAAAUGCCAGUGCUCAUGGCAAAGAUUUGUUCCUCUUAGCUCUACUGAGAUCAAACCAUAUCACUGUUAAAAGUACAUGUAUAAUUCAUUAUAUAAUAAAUAUACACUUACAUGUAAUAUAUUUUAUAAAAUACAGUAUCUAUACUA
Dipodomys spectabilis (banner-tailed kangaroo rat) is the source of this 5175-nucleotide long non-coding RNA. RefSeq lists it as uncharacterized. The record is from RefSeq and is a predicted model, not a curated record. Lineage: Eukaryota; Metazoa; Chordata; Mammalia; Rodentia; Heteromyidae. The transcript is spliced from 3 exons.